UACGUAGGGAGCAAGCGUUGUCCGGAAUCAUUGGGCGUAAAGCGCGCGUAGGUGGCUUCAUAAGUCCGUUGUGAAAGUCAAAGGCUCAACCUUUGAAAUCCGAUGGAUACUGUGGAGCUAGAGUACGGAAGAGGCGAGUGGAAUUCCUGGUGUAGCGGUGGAAUGCGCAGAUAUCAGGAGGAACACCAAUAGCGAAGGCAGCUCGCUGGGACGUUACUGACACUGAGGCGCGAAAGCGUGGGGAGCGAACAGG
RNAcentral lists this ribosomal RNA (253 nucleotides) under uncultured bacterium. RNAcentral's name for it is "partial 16S ribosomal RNA". It matches the Rfam family "Bacterial small subunit ribosomal RNA", at positions 524 to 776 of the family's 1533-position model. The record is from RNAcentral.